UCACCCCUCAAGCCCUGGCUUGGUGUUGGACUUUAGUUAUAGCUUUGCCUAUCAACUGGUCUCAAAGAUAGUGACGGCGCCCCAGAGGGAACCGGGUACGAGGAGCUUUUUAUUAAGCAUGUAUCUGGGACGACUCUGAUGGACGACGGUCUUGUUAUAUACUUUUACCUAAG
Molecule: unclassified non-coding RNA, 173 nt
Filed under: uncultured Chaetothyriales
Lineage: Eukaryota; Fungi; Ascomycota; Eurotiomycetes; Chaetothyriales
Description: sequence contains ITS2
Source: RNAcentral